This is a non-coding RNA of Camellia sinensis, 686 nucleotides long. The record is from RefSeq and is a predicted model, not a curated record. Lineage: Eukaryota; Viridiplantae; Streptophyta; Magnoliopsida; Ericales; Theaceae.
AACCAGCACUUUUCUGAUCUCACACAAUAACCUAAUCCAUUCUUCGACAGAGACUCUCUCUCUCUCUCCUCUCUCUUUCUCUCCUUUCAAAACCAUACCCAUCUAACGAUGGCAACAGCGAUCUUCUCCACUGUUCGACCAACAAUGAGCGACGAUCUACACUAAAAGGCGAUCGACCCAUUCUUUGAUAGAGACACACACACACACACACAGUCUCUCUCUCCCCCCCAAACCCUACCCAUCUUUUGACGGCUAUGGCGACGGCGACGGCGAUCUUCUCUAUCGUCCGACCAACAACGAGCGAUGAUCUACACUAAAAGGUGAUCGACGAUCGAGGUGGUGAGUUCUAAAAGUAGAGAGGUGGUGAGAUUCAGAGUGUGAGGGUUCUACACACAUAGAGAGAGGAAGCUUACAGUUCGAAAACCAGAGAGGUAGAAAAAAGCUCAUGUGUUUCUCAUGUCCCAUGAAUUGAAGGGCCAACGUCAAUGGCACCUGCUUCACUACAGUUGUAUAUUACAGGAGAGAUUGUUAAAUCAUGAGUCUCAUCCAGAUUCAUCUUCUUAAAUUGUUUAUUUUAUUUGAUAAGAUUUGUUUUUUUAAUAGUUGUAAAUGGUUAUUUUUCCAAACAAUACUUCUUGUUAGAAGGAAGAUAAUUGAUAAAAUAUUGUUGUUAUAUUUUGAAUAAA